Molecule: long non-coding RNA, 512 nt
Organism: Mobula hypostoma (lesser devil ray)
Lineage: Eukaryota; Metazoa; Chordata; Chondrichthyes; Myliobatiformes; Myliobatidae
Exons: 3
Source: RefSeq, a predicted model, not a curated record
CAGACACUGUAAGAUGUGAAAGAAUUUCAUCCAUUACAUGAGCUCUAUUGGUUGACUACCAGUGCACUAUAAAGGAGCUUCAGGAGGGGUAUGGAGAGAAUCACGUAGCUUGAAUAAGAUUAUGAAGACACGUAGUCCUCUUUUCUUGUCAUUUAGUAAUGCAUGCAUUAAGAAGUGAACAACAGGAAUUCUGCAGAUGCUGGAAAUUCAAGCAACACACAUCAAAGUUGCUGGUGAACGCAGCAGGCCAGGCAGCAUCUAUAGGAAGAGGCGCAGUCGACGUUUCAGGCCGAGACCCUUCAUCAGGACUAACUGAAGGAAGAGAAACCUUGGCAGCUUCUGUUAAGAACAUGCAGGGGACAUUGAGACACAAGUAAACAUAUAUCAUUUAACCUUCUCCUUUCGUAGUCCAGUUUGAUAUAUCUGCCUUCAGCAAACAUGGAGGGAUUCUAUUCUGGCUGAAAACAUCAAGUGAUCAAGAAAGCCUCAAAUGUGCAGCAUCACAUUAUGGU